Molecule: non-coding RNA, 21 nt
Organism: Caenorhabditis elegans
Lineage: Eukaryota; Metazoa; Nematoda; Chromadorea; Rhabditida; Rhabditidae
Source: Ensembl
UAUCCUAGAAUGACAAAUCAA